CCUACGGGAGGUAGCAGUGGGGAAUAUUGGACAAUGGGCGAAAGCCUGAUCCAGCCAUGCCGCGUGUGUGAAGAAGGCCUUCGGGUUGUAAAGCACUUUCAGUGGGGAAGAAAGCCUUGGGGCUAAUACCCUCGAGGAAGGACAUCACCCACAGAAGAAGCACCGGCUAACUCCGUGCCAGCAGCCGCGGUAAUACGGAGGGUGCGAGCGUUAAUCGGAAUUACUGGGCGUAAAGCGCGCGUAGGCGGUCUGAUAAGCCGGUUGUGAAAGCCCCGGGCUCAACCUGGGAACGGCAUCCGGAACUGUCAGGCUAGAGUGCAGGAGAGGAAGGUAGAAUUCCCGGUGUAGCGGUGAAAUGCGUAGAGAUCGGGAGGAAUACCAGUGGCGAAGGCGGCCUUCUGGACUGACACUGACGCUGAGGUGCGAAAGCGUGGGUAGCAAACAGGAUUAGAUACCUUGUAUC
RNAcentral lists this ribosomal RNA (463 nucleotides) under Vreelandella stevensii. RNAcentral's name for it is "partial 16S ribosomal RNA". It matches the Rfam family "Bacterial small subunit ribosomal RNA", at positions 338 to 794 of the family's 1533-position model. Lineage: Bacteria; Pseudomonadati; Pseudomonadota; Gammaproteobacteria; Oceanospirillales; Halomonadaceae. The record is from RNAcentral.